AGAGUUUGAUCCUGGCUCAGAUUGAACGCUGGCGGCAUGCCUUACACAUGCAAGUCGAACGGCAGCAUGAUCUAGCUUGCUAGAUUGAUGGCGAGUGGCGAACGGGUGAGUAAUACAUCGGAACGUGCCCUGUAGUGGGGGAUAACUAGUCGAAAGAUUAGCUAAUACCGCAUACGAUCUGAGGGUGAAAGUGGGGGACCGCAAGGCCUCAUGCUAUAGGAGCGGCCGAUGUCUGAUUAGCUAGUUGGUGGGGUAAAGGCCCACCAAGGCGACGAUCAGUAGCUGGUCUGAGAGGACGAUCAGCCACACUGGGACUGAGACACGGCCCAGACUCCUACGGGAGGCAGCAGUGGGGAAUUUUGGACAAUGGGCGAAGGCCUGAUCCAGCAAUGCCGCGUGUGUGAAGAAGGCCUUCGGGUUGUAAAGCACUUUUGUCCGGAAAGAAAUGGCUCUGGUUAAUACCUGGGGUCGAUGACGGUACCGGAAGAAUAAGGACCGGCUAACUACGUGCCAGCAGCCGCGGUAAU
Molecule: ribosomal RNA, 527 nt
Filed under: uncultured soil bacterium
Lineage: Bacteria
Description: bacterial SSU rRNA
Rfam family: Bacterial small subunit ribosomal RNA
Source: RNAcentral